AAUAAUUUGUGCAUCAUGUACAUGAUGUUGUAUUAGACACAUUAUUUCACCAUUACUCUUAGUUUUGAAUAAUUAUGGUACUAUUUUAUAAUUAUUUAUGCUUCACUUAAUUUAUUUAGGUUAUCAGUAAUGAAGUAAGAGGAAAAAUUCAAAUCGAUUGACGAAUCAAAAAACUAUUAAUUGAUUUAUUUAGUUUGUAAAUAUUAAAAUAAAAGAAAAAAUUCUCAAAUCAACACAGAACACACAAUAUCUAGUAUAUAUAUCAUAGCUAGAAUUAGCUAACUGAUGGAGUUAUGGACCCUAUAAUCAUAAUCGAUCAUCAUUCAUCACCAUGAUGUUUAAGCAGCUGGGGCAAAAUCAUAAUCUCCACCACCAUCAUCGUCGUCAUCUCCAUCGUCGCCUUCAUUACCACACGAUUGGGCAGCAAAAACAGUGCCGGCGUAAUGAUUGCGGCACCGAGCUUGGUUGUAACAAUCUCCAUCCGCAUGCUGCAACAUCAUAACCAACAUGACAAUGUUCAACAGAGCACACAUAUUGAAGAAGAAGAAGAAGAAGAAACUGCGCUAAGAAUGGGUGAAUAUACUGUGUUUUCUUUGCUUUGAGGUUGUUGUAUGAUUGCGGGU
RNAcentral lists this long non-coding RNA (623 nucleotides) under Linum usitatissimum (flax). RNAcentral's name for it is "long non-coding RNA (LUSI_LNC002576)". Lineage: Eukaryota; Viridiplantae; Streptophyta; Magnoliopsida; Malpighiales; Linaceae. The record is from RNAcentral.